RNAcentral lists this ribosomal RNA (491 nucleotides) under uncultured bacterium. Its description in RNAcentral is "bacterial SSU rRNA". It matches the Rfam family "Bacterial small subunit ribosomal RNA", at positions 9 to 487 of the family's 1533-position model. The record is from RNAcentral.
GAGUUUGAUCCUGGCUCAGAACGAGCGCUGGCGGCGUGCUUAACACAUGCAAGUCAGGGAGAAAGUCUCUUCGGGGAUGAUUAAACCGGCGCACGGGUGAGUAACACGUGAGUGACCUGCCUUUUAGACUGGAACAACUUACCGAAAGGUGAGCUAAUGCCGGAUGAGUUAUAUAAGUGCAUGUUUAUAUAGGAAAAGUUGGGGAGACCUGACGCUGAAAGAUGGACUCGCGUCCCAUUAGCUAGUUGGUAGGGUAAUGGCCUACCAAGGCGACGAUGGGUAGCCGGCCUGAGAGGGUGGCCGGCCACACUGGGACUGAGACACGGCCCAGACUCCUACGGGAGGCAGCAGUGGGGAAUUUUGCGCAAUGCUCGUAAGAGUGACGCAGCGACGCCGCGUGAAUGACGAAGGCCUUCGGGUCGUAAAGUUCUUUCGACAGGGAAGAAAAUGCCUAUAAGUAACUGUGUAUGUAUUGACGGUACCUGUAUAAG